RNAcentral lists this microRNA precursor (110 nucleotides) under Cricetulus griseus (Chinese hamster). RNAcentral describes it as "miRNA (ENSCGRG00001007391.1)". The record is from RNAcentral. Lineage: Eukaryota; Metazoa; Chordata; Mammalia; Rodentia; Cricetidae.
UGAGACUUUGAGGCCAUUUUCAGUUUGUAUUAAAGGUUCAUAAGAAAUACAAUGCCUUGGGUGGGAGGGAUAGCUCAGCUGUGAAAGGCUAGGCUCACAACCAAAAUAUA